This 250-nucleotide ribosomal RNA is filed under the name uncultured prokaryote. RNAcentral's name for it is "partial 16S ribosomal RNA". It matches the Rfam family "Bacterial small subunit ribosomal RNA", at positions 524 to 773 of the family's 1533-position model. The record is from RNAcentral.
UACGUAGGGGGCAAGCGUUAUCCGGAUUUACUGGGUGUAAAGGGUGCGUAGACGGUUGUGUAAGUCUGAAGUGAAAGGCGGGGGCUCAACUCCCGGACUGCUUUGGAAACUAUAUAACUAGAGUGCAGGAGGGGUAAGCGGAAUUCCUGGUGUAGCGGUGAAAUGCUUAGAUAUCAGGAGGAACACCGGCGGCGAAGGCGGCUUACUGGACUGUAACUGACGUUGAGGCACGAAAGCGUGGGGAGCAAAC